RNAcentral lists this unclassified non-coding RNA (341 nucleotides) under soil metagenome. RNAcentral describes it as "partial contains 5.8S ribosomal RNA, internal transcribed spacer 2, and large subunit ribosomal RNA". The stretch from base 1 to 120 matches the Rfam family "5.8S ribosomal RNA", at positions 35 to 154 of the family's 154-position model. The record is from RNAcentral.
GAUGAAGAACGUAGCGAAAUGCGAUAAGUAGUGUGAAUUGCAGAAUUCAGUGAAUCAUCGAAUCUUUGAACGCACAUUGCGGCCAUAGGUAUUCCUUUGGCCAUGCCUGUUCGAGCGUCAUUUACACCCUCAAGCCUAGCUUGGUGUUGGGCGCCUGUCCCGCCGUUUUCGCGCGCGGACUCGCCUCAAAGUCAUUGGCGGCGGUCGUGCCGGCCCCCUCGCGCAGCACAUUUGCGCUUCUCGGAGGCCCGGCGGAUCCGCGCUCCAGCAAGACCUUUCACGACUUGACCUCGGAUCAGGUAGGGAUACCCGCUGAACUUAAGCAUAUAAUAAGCGGAGGA